Hevea brasiliensis (rubber tree) is the source of this 3337-nucleotide RNA transcript. RefSeq lists it as uncharacterized. The record is from RefSeq and is a predicted model, not a curated record. NCBI's taxonomy places the organism in Eukaryota, Viridiplantae, Streptophyta, Magnoliopsida, Malpighiales, Euphorbiaceae. The transcript has 7 exons.
GUGCACACUAAAAGACCUAUAGCAAUCAGCGUGCGGUGAAUUGAUUUUUUUUUUUUUUGGCACUGCCCUAAAAAUAUAAUCCUAUUUCAUUGUUUAGAUUCAUUGAGAGGGGCAGGAUUUUUUCGAAAAGCGAAGUGAGAACAAUUCAGACGGGUCCUGGAGGUCUCUUUUUCACUGGUGAUGGAAUUGGAACGCUGGACGUUUGGAAGUUGACAGAAUCACAUGGAAGAGCUAUGGAAAUAGCAUGAUAUCUUUGUAACUACCUGUCUUGCAAAAUUUGGUCAUCCUGUUUGAGUUCUGUUGAUUUUUUUUUUGUAGAAAUUGUAGAACUACGUGGACCUGAUCCUUCAUUUUGUGAUGGAGGUACGUAGGCAGCCUUCGGGUGCGGUCCAAAUUAUGUAAUAACUAUUUUUUGUUUGUUUUAAAUUCUUUUUGUUUGUUUUUCAAUUCACAUUUGCAUUUCACUUGGCUUUUGGAUUUUUGUCAUUUGAGCAAUAUUGUGUAAUAAGGAAUUGAUGUUAUUGUCCUUAAGAAGUCAUCCUAUGACCCAUAUUCUUUAUUGUUAUCAAAUGUAAGAAUUCAUCUUAAGGCCCCAUAUUCUUAAUUCUAUUAUUCAUCCUCUCAUUUUCAAUGAAGUCAAUAUUGUUUUCAUUUUUUCCUUUGUUGAAUACUCCCAAUACCUACUCUUCAUUAUGAUUCAAAAGGAUCGUAUGUUAAAUUGUGCAGUAUAUCCUUUGCUGCAUUAAGAUAUUUUGGUAAUUUGAUUGAUUCCAUUCCAUCAAAAUGUUAUCACAUUACUCUUAUCUUUGUUAUUGCUCUUUUCUUAUACAUAAAUAUCAUUUUGCCCUUCUCAAUUUAGUUGGGAAAACGACACUUAAAAAAAAAAGAAAAUUGAAAUUGAGGAAAUCCCAAAUUCAAAUGUGGCAGCGUUGGUCAACUGGAAUUUUUCAGCAAGGGAGCAUUGUUGGGCAUCAUGAAUAAAUUGUGACCAAGAAGAAUAAAAAAUAAGAAAAUGGCAGCGUUUUAUGACGCUAACUCAGAAAAAUAAAUUAGCUUGGAAUGAGUGUAUGUAUAGAAAGUCAUCCUCAGCUAGCGAAAACGGUUUUGAAGGAGAGCGAUGAAGAGCCAGGGGUUGAGAAUGAGAAAGCAGAGUCCGCUGCUCUUCCUCCAUCUGAGGGGGUUCCUGAAACAACAGGUAAAGAAGAACCCGCUGCAGAUGGUCAUGACGCUGUUAAUACCCAACAGGCUUCUGUUGAGGAUUUGAAUACAGAUGAUGCUGAGAAGAAAGAGGAAUCGGAGAAACAUUCUGAGGAGGACGAGGAUCCCGUAACUGACACUCAAACUGCCUCACGCAAAAUGGAGGUUCCCAAUGAUAAGGUUGGGGUUCUUAUUGGAAAGGGUGGAGAUACUAUUCGUUACCUGCAGACUGCAGUAUAAUUCUGGGGCAAAAAUUCAAAUCACAAGGGAUGCUGAUGCUAAUCCUCAAUCCACAACAAGGCCAGUAGAAAUAAUAGGGACUUUAAGUAAUAUAAAGAAGGCUGAGAAGCUCAUUAAUGCUGUCAUAGCAGAGGCUGAUGCUUGUGGUUCCACCUCCCUUGUAGCUAGGGGCCUACCUAGUGCACAGACCGGUGUAGUGUGAGAACAACUUGAGAUGCAAGUUCCAAAUGAGAAGGUUGGUCUGAUCAUAGGCAGAGGUGGGGACGCCAUUAAAGCUCUCCAAGCCAAAUCGGGAGCGCGCAUUCAGUUGAUACCUCAACAUCUUCCAGAAGGGGAUGGUUCCAAAGAAAGGACAGUGAGAGUGACUGGUGAUAGAAAGCAAAUUGAGAUGGCUAGAGAAAUGAUAAAGGAUGUUAUGAAUCAGACUGUGAGGUCAUCACCUUACUCUGGCAGUUUCAACCAACAGCAUUCCUAUCGACCCCGUGGACCUACUGGUCCAUCAAAUUGGGGUCCACGAGGCCCUCAUUCAUCACAGCCAAAUCCUUACGAUUAUCAUCUCCGAGGACCUUAUCCUUCUCAAAGUUCACAGUAUCCACCUCCAAGUUAUGGUGGUUAUCCUCCCCAACAAAUGGGCCCCGAGGUAACUUUGGUUCUGGUUGGGAGCAAAGACCUCCCACCAUGCAGGGGCCAGUUCCGCAUGGUGGAGUUUAUGACUACGGUGUCCAGGGAGGCCAUGUAUCUGAUCACCCAGCGUCUGGCCCAAUUUCUACUCCUGUUUCUGGGCAUGCUCCUAGCCCGUCCCCUACCCCUGCCAUGUCCCAUUCCCCAUCACAGGCAAAUUAUAAUUAUGGGCAGCCACAUGGUCCAGAUUAUGGGCAUCAAGCUCCUUAUUCCCAGGCAGUACCUUCUCAGCAGGGCUAUGGGCAUGGAUAUGACGAACCAAAGUAUGACAAUCAUGCUCCAAUGCAGCAUCCUUAUGGACAUGGAAGUUCCCAACCAGUAUAUCCACAAGCCAGCAAUCAACCAGGCUAUAGGCGCAGCAGCAGUAUGGAAAGCAACCAUCAUGUGGCAUGCCAUUGCAGGGACCACCUCCCCAAUCAUAUGGCCCUCCUAGGCCUAGUCAACCUGGUGAUAUGCCAUAUCAAGGUCCCAUUCAAUCCAGUCAAUCAUAUGGUCCAAAUGUGCCACCUCAACAGCAGUAUCCUUAUGCAUCAAGUGGGCAAUCGUAUCCUUCAAAUGGAUCUGCAUCAGGUGCUGAGGGGAACAAUCAGGCAAUGCCUACUUCUGGCCCCGGCUAUCCACAGCAAGGUAGCCAGCCAGUUCCAUGUUAUCUCAGCCUGGUGGACAACAGUCAACUGGCUAUGUGCAAGGUCCAACCAGUGGUUAUGGAUUAUACCCAUCUUCGCAACAAUGUUAUCCAGAACAGCCAGCUUCAAACAAUGCAGGUUAUGGGUAUCAAGGGUCUCAAGAUCCUGCUUAUGGCAGUGGCCCUGGGGCAACCUAUAGUGCACCACCAAGUGGCCAGCAGGCUUAUGCUCAGCCAACAGCAACUCAACCAAGUUAUGAUCAGUCGGUUCCUCAGUCAGGUGCAUAUGGAGCUGCUCCAGGAAGUGCACCAGUUGGGUAUGGGAAAAACCUUGUCUCCCUAGCGCACUUACCCUCAAUAUGACUCAACUCUGAUAUAUGUUGCACCGCUCUGAGAAUUUAGUUAUAGCUUGAUGGCGAGUUUGUACUGCUGAUGCAUAUUGAGCUUUUGCAGUUAAGUAUUACAAAUAUGUUAUUAUCCGGGUAGUAUUAGCUUUAGAUAUUUGACUGUUAGGUCUUUUUCUGACUGCCAAUCGAACACCAAGAUUAUGUAUCUGCAUGAUGCUGACUGAGAAUGCAUCUAAGUUUCUUAUCA